CACAGCCGCGGUAAUACGUAGGUGGCAAGCGUUGUCCGGAAUUAUUGGGCGUAAAGCGCGCGCAGGUGGUUUAAUAAGUCUGAUGUGAAAGCCCACGGCUCAACCGUGGAGGGUCAUUGGAAACUGUUAAACUUGAGUGCAGGAGAGAAAAGUGGAAUUCCUAGUGUAGCGGUGAAAUGCGUAGAGAUUAGGAGGAACACCAGUGGUGAAGGCGGCUUUUUGGCCUGUAACUGACACUGAGGCGCGAAAGCGUGGGGAGCAAACAGGAUUAGAUACCCGAGUAGUCCCUGUCUCUUAUACA
This 301-nucleotide ribosomal RNA is filed under the name uncultured bacterium. RNAcentral's name for it is "partial 16S ribosomal RNA". It matches the Rfam family "Bacterial small subunit ribosomal RNA", at positions 510 to 808 of the family's 1533-position model. The record is from RNAcentral.